UGAGGUAUUGCUCCUUUUAGGAGUUAAAAACAUGGAAGUGCACACGUUAAUCAACUUUGUGCAGCUACGCUACACUUUUUGACCCCCCAAUCAAGCAAGAUUACCCGCUGAACUUAAGCAUAUCAAUAAGCGGAGGAAAAGAAACCAACAGGGAUUGCCUUAGUAACGGCGAGUGAACAGGUAAGAGCUCAGAUUUGAAAGGCACUUGUGCCGUUGUAUUCUGAAGUUAGGAUUCUCGAAAACGACACCUAAGUUUUCUGGAAAGGAAUGCCACAGAGGGUGAUAGCCCCGUACGGUGUUGACUCGAUACAGAGUCCUAACAUGGAGUCGAGUUGUUUGGGAAUGCAGCUCAAAUGGGUGGUAUGCUCCAUCUAAGGCUAAAUAUUUGCGAGAGACCGAUAGCGAACAAGUACUGUGAAGGAAAGAUGAAAAGAACUUUGAAAAGAGAGUGAAAUAGUACGUGAAAUUGUUGAAAUGGAAGGGUAGGCCGCUAACCAUGUAGGACCGUGUUUGGGGGGAAGAUAAAUGCUGUAGAAUGUGGCUCCUCGGAGUGUUAUAGCUACAGUUCAUGUCCCAUCCGAGCGCGAGGAUCUCAGGUUCUACUAAAUGGUGGUCUACCACCCGUCUUGAAACACGGACCAAGGAGUCUAUUGCCUGCGCGAGUAUUUGGGUGUCAA
This 677-nucleotide ribosomal RNA is filed under the name Starmerella davenportii. RNAcentral's name for it is "partial large subunit ribosomal RNA". The stretch from base 81 to 677 matches the Rfam family "Eukaryotic large subunit ribosomal RNA", at positions 1 to 704 of the family's 3401-position model. The record is from RNAcentral. Lineage: Eukaryota; Fungi; Ascomycota; Dipodascomycetes; Dipodascales; Trichomonascaceae.